RNAcentral lists this ribosomal RNA (619 nucleotides) under uncultured bacterium. Its description in RNAcentral is "bacterial SSU rRNA". It matches the Rfam family "Bacterial small subunit ribosomal RNA", at positions 338 to 1363 of the family's 1533-position model. The record is from RNAcentral.
CCUACGGGAGGCAGCAGUGGGGAAUUUUGGACAAUGGGCGCAAGCCUGAUCCAGCCAUGCCGCGUGCAGGAUGAAGGCCUUCGGGUUGUAAACUGCUUUUGUACGGAACGAAAAGACUCUGGUUAAUACCUGGGGUCCAUGACGGUACCGUAAGAAUAAGCACCGGCUAACUACGUGCCAGCAGCCGCGGUAAUACGUAGGGUGCGAGCGUUAAUCGGAAUUACUGGGCGUAAAGCGUGCGCAGGCGGUUAUAUAAGACAGAUGUGAAAUCCCCGGGCUCAACCUGGGAACUGCAUUUGUGACUGUAUAGCUAGAGUACGGCAGAGGGGGAUGGAAUUCCGCGUGUAGCAGUGAAAUGCGUAGAUAUGCGGAGGAACACCGAUGGCGAAGGCAAUCCCCUGGGCCUGUACUGACGCUCAUGCACGAAAGCGUGGGGAGCAAACAGGAUUAGAUACCCUGGUAGUCCACGCCCUAAACGAUGUCAACUGGUUGUUGGGUCUUCACUGACUCAGUAACGAAGCUAACGCGUGAAGUUGACCGCCUGGGGAAGUCGGCCGCAAGGUUGAAACUCAAAUGAAUUGACCGGNNGAGAGNGCGAGGACGACACGAGGGGAGGAGG